RNAcentral lists this long non-coding RNA (785 nucleotides) under Felis catus (domestic cat). RNAcentral describes it as "lncRNA (ENSFCAG00000053759.1)". Lineage: Eukaryota; Metazoa; Chordata; Mammalia; Carnivora; Felidae. The record is from RNAcentral.
AUGGAAGGCUGCUGCUGGGGGUGGGGUCUGAGUUGGGAGUCUCUCCCGGGCUUCUCCCUCGCCUGGCUACUGAAACCUCCCCACAAACAAGGCAGGGAAACUGAGGACAAAUCCCCACCCAUACUUCAAGAUCCAACAGCCCCACGCUGCAUACAGCUCAGCAACACCCCCGAUCCUUCUGGCCCGCUCAGCUCGAACCUGCAGAGGCUCCUCAGUCCCCUCCCUGUCUGCCUAGCUCAGAGUCUGAAUCCUGCGAAGGUCCAUCCACACAGUGGGAUAGGGUUCAGCCAUGAAAAAGAGGGUGAAAUUCUGGCACCCGCUAAGACGUGGAGGAACCUUGAGAAGCUUGUGCCGAGUGCAGAAAGGCAGACAUAAAAGGUCCUACGUUGUGUAAAAUUUCAUUUAUGUGAAAUACCCAGAAUGGGUAAACCCACAGAAACAGAAUAGAGACUGGUGGCUGCCAGGGGCGGGGGAUGGGGUAGGGAAAAGUUUCUCACAGGCCACAGUUGCACAACAUUGCGAAGGCACUAAACGCCAAUGCUCACUUUAAAACGGUAAUUUUAGGGGCGCCUAGGUGGCUCAGUGGGUUAACUGUCCAACUCUUGAUCUCGGCUCAGGUCAUGAUCUCACGGUUCGUGGGUUCGAACUCCACGUCGGGCUGUGUGCUGACAGCUUCCGAGCUGGAACCUGCUUCAGAUUCUGUGUCUCCCUCUCUCUCUGCCCCUCCCCUGCUCGUGCUCUGUCUCAAAAAUAAAUAAACGGUAAAAAAAAAAAAAAUUCUUUUC